This 446-nucleotide ribosomal RNA is filed under the name uncultured bacterium. RNAcentral describes it as "partial 16S ribosomal RNA". It matches the Rfam family "Bacterial small subunit ribosomal RNA", at positions 338 to 795 of the family's 1533-position model. The record is from RNAcentral.
CCUACGGGGAGCAGCAGUCGAGAAUCAUUCACAAUGGGGGAAACCCUGAUGGUGCGACGCCGCGUGGGGGAAUGAAGGUCUUCGGAUUGUAAACCCCUGUCAUGUGGGAGCAAAUUAAAAAGAUAGUACCACACGAGGAAGAGACGGCUAACUCUGUGCCAGCAGCCGCGGUAAUACAGAGGUCUCAAGCGUUGUUCGGAAUCACUGGGCGUAAAGCGUGCGUAGGCUGUUUCGUAAGUCGUGUGUGAAAGGCGCGGGCUCAACCCGCGGACGGCACAUGAUACUGCGAGACUAGAGUAAUGGAGGGGGAACCGGAAUUCUCGGUGUAGCAGUGAAAUGCGUAGAUAUCGAGAGGAACACUCGUGGCGAAGGCGGGUUCCUGGACAUUAACUGACGCUGAGGCACGAAGGCCAGGGGAGCGAAAGGGAUUAGAUACCCGAGUAGUC